This 329-nucleotide ribosomal RNA is filed under the name uncultured Limnofilidae. RNAcentral describes it as "SSU rRNA". The stretch from base 116 to 329 matches the Rfam family "Eukaryotic small subunit ribosomal RNA", at positions 741 to 955 of the family's 1831-position model. Lineage: Eukaryota; Cercozoa; Limnofilidae. RNAcentral also lists the same sequence under 1 other name. The record is from RNAcentral.
GAUUUCUGGCGUGGUGCGCCGAGCCCGCCUCGUUUUCGGGGUGAGUGCUUGCUGUGCGCCUGCCAUCCUUCGGGGGUGCUUCCGUGUGGCGCAAGCUGCGCGGGUUCAUAAGUUGCUUCCGAUCGUUUACUUUGAAAAAAUUAGAGUGUUCAAAGCAGGCUAGACGCUAUGAAUACAUUAGCAUGGAAUAAUAAGAUAGGACUUGGGUUCUAUUUUGUUGGUUUCUAGGACUUAAGUAAUGAUUGAUAGGGACAGUUGGGGGUGCUAGUAUUUGACGGCCAGAGGUGAAAUUCUUGGAUUCGUUAAAGACUAACUAAUGCGAAAGCAUU